ACAACAGCUGAUGCAUGGUCAAUAUAUAAAAAGUCAUACAUUGGCAUCACUGCCACUUGGAUAAAUGAAGAUAAUUCCAGAACUAAUUGUUUACUAGCUCUGAAAAGGCUUGAAGGCAGUCAUACUUAUGACAUUUUGGCAAAAUGUAUGGACAGUAUUUAUACAAGUUAUGAAAUAACUGAUAAAGUUCAUUUUUGUACAACAGAUAAUGGCUCUAAUUUUGUUAAAUGUUUCAGAGAAUUUAAUCAUAUUUUGGAUGAAAAGGAUGCUACGAGUCUAAUUGAUUCACCCAGUAAUUUGUCUGAAAUAGAUGAUGAUACAACUGAAAUUAUUAAUGUAUUUGAUAUGGAAAAUGAAAAUAAUUUUG
Long non-coding RNA from Daktulosphaira vitifoliae (grape phylloxera), 367 nucleotides. RefSeq lists it as uncharacterized. The transcript is spliced from 3 exons. The record is from RefSeq and is a predicted model, not a curated record. Lineage: Eukaryota; Metazoa; Arthropoda; Insecta; Hemiptera; Phylloxeridae.